GUAUCAUGGCUCAGGAUGAACGCUAGCGGCAGGCCUAACACAUGCAAGUCGAGGGGCAUCGGGAUUGAAGCUUGCUUCAAUUGCCGGCGACCGGCGCACGGGUGCGUAACGCGUAUGUAACCUACCUAUAACAGGGGCAUAACACUGAGAAAUUGGUACUAAUUCCCCAUAAUAUUCGGAGAGGCAUCCCUCCGGGUUGAAACUCCGGUGGUUAUAGAUGGACAUGCGUUGUAUUAGCUAGUUGG
Molecule: ribosomal RNA, 245 nt
Filed under: uncultured bacterium
Lineage: Bacteria
Description: partial 16S ribosomal RNA
Rfam family: Bacterial small subunit ribosomal RNA
Source: RNAcentral